Molecule: non-coding RNA, 29 nt
Filed under: Mus musculus (house mouse)
Lineage: Eukaryota; Metazoa; Chordata; Mammalia; Rodentia; Muridae
Also listed under: 1 other name
Source: RNAcentral
UGACAUGAAUGAUUGUGGAAGCCCAGAGA